GUGGCCUUCUUUGGGAAAGUGUGUAAGUGGGUCCGGUUUUGAAGCUUCAGAUGACUGGUGUCAUUCCCACUGAGUCCUCUCUAUUUGCGGAUCAGGAUGUAAGAUCAGCUAUUCCUUCCCCCACGCCUCUGCUCCACCUCCAUGGACUCUAGCCCACUGAUACUGAGGAAAGUGGGACUAGAAUUGAAUUAUUAACCAUCCCUCUCAAAGUCAUACAAUAUCUGUAAGUAUUUCAAGAGAGCUACUAGGCUGGGGACUAUGGCACAUGCUGGGAGAGCGAGUCAUCCUAGCUCCCUGGAAAAAGAAAUGACUAAGCUUUGGACAGUUCCUCACCUUAACCUAUAGACCUCUCCAUCUGUUUGCCACCUGUGUCCUUUGUAAAUCCUGUAUUAUAAAUUGGUAAGUGCAUCUUCCCAAACUCCAUAGGCCAAUACAGUAAAUGUGACCUAAUGAAAGAAGUGGACUACAGAAACCUCCAAUUUGUAAAUUUAAAGGAUGGAGAAAAUCUAAGAAGCCAUCACUUGUAGUUAUCACCUGAGCAGGUUUGAUAUUAUGUGCCUAGGACUUUAACAUCGAGAGUCUACACAAAUUCCAAGCAGAUGAUUCCAGAAGUGAAUCAAAUUGGAGAACAGCUUCUUGGUGCCUGCAGAGAAUUAGAUAAAACCUUGAUAUGGAUAAACUCCUCAUACACCUUAUGUCAGAAACCAUCUAUGCAGAGUAGACAGAACAGUUUCUUUUGACCACCAUACACUUGUGUGUUCCUGCACCAUAGCUAUUCCAUCCUGGUGGGCUGAAACAUGAUCAAGGAUAUAGGACAGGAGACUGGUAUAAAGAAGAAUGACAGCUCGUUUACAAAGCCAUGCUAAAAUCAAAGCAAUGUUAGAGAUGAUAAACAAUAAACCUAAAAUCCAAAUUGGACAUUACAAGUCAGAUCUGACAGGCUUUCCAAAGCAGAAUAGAAACGAAAAAUGCAUGAGUUGACUCCAAUAAGAGGCUUGAUGACAGAAAUGAAAGAUAAUUGAUUUUCAACAUAUGGAUGAUAGGCACUUCCUUGAACAGGCUAAGACAAGGAGAAUAAACAUCAUAAUACAGCAUAUUAAAACAAUAGCUCAAUAAUGAUACACAUGAUUAGAUGAAAGUACUCAGAAUCUAUGAUGUAAAUCAAUAAAAAUUUAAUAAUCAACACACAAAAUAGACUCAACCGAAGACCAAAUUCCAAGACCUGGAAUUAUUAGAUAGCUAGGAGAAAACAUAAGUGAAAUAAUUCAGGAUAUUGGCACAAUCGUUUCUUAUAUUGCUGCAAAAGCACAGCAAUAAAAGAGCAAAAUAGACAAACUACAAUGGAAAGCUUCUGCACAAGAGAGAAGCCAACCAACACAGUAAACAGAUCGCCAAGAAAAUGGGAAAGUACUAGCCAUCUGUUGAUAUGAUACAGGAUCAGUAUCUAGAGUACAUAAAAAAUUCAAGCAUCUUAGACAAUCAGUCCAAAAUAAAUUUGAUGUUUAUCUUCACAGGCAUUUCUCAAAGCAAAGCAUUUCAAGUGGUCAAUAAAAUCACAGACAAGACUCAGUUACAUUAGUUAUCAGGAAAUGGAAAACCAAAACUUUGUGGAGUUAUGCCCUUAUCCUGGUUAGAAUGCCUAUUAUUAAAAUAACAAAUGCUGGCAAUGAUGUAGAGGAAAUGGACUCAUAUACGUUGGGGGGUGAGAAUACAAAUCAAUAUGACUAUAGCAGAGAACUGCUUAAACAUUCUUUGAAAAACAAUUUACCAUCUAUCUCACCAAUGCACACAUGACCAAGGGAAAGGAAAACAGUAUAUUAUAGUAACACCUGAGCUGCAUGUUUUCCACAGCUUUCUUCGCUAUAAUGAAGAUAUGGAUUAUUCUAAAUUUCUAUCAAUGGAUGAAUGGAUUAAAAUGCACUAUAGCUACACUGUAGAGUUUUAUUUAGCCAUAAAAAAGAAUAAAAUCCUGUCACUUGUGGCAAAAUGAAUGGAGCUGGAGGAUAUUAACCUAAGUGGUACACACAGAGGGAUGAAUGGCAUACACUGAAAAUAGCACUGGCCAACUUGAAUGUUGUAUGGAGACUACUAAAGACUGUGAACAAGGCAAUCAAUAGGGAAAGGUUUGAUAACAGAUACCAGACAUCCUUAGUGGUGCUAUGGUUCUUAUCACACCACAUUAUAGUACACCAUCCACCUGUUUGCUGUGCAGUGUUCUUUAAAGAUGUCAAAAAGCAUUAAAAAUAAAUAAUUUAUGAAGGAAGAAAUGUUACUCCAA
Molecule: long non-coding RNA, 2278 nt
Organism: Mastomys coucha (southern multimammate mouse)
Lineage: Eukaryota; Metazoa; Chordata; Mammalia; Rodentia; Muridae
Exons: 2
Source: RefSeq, a predicted model, not a curated record